UCAAGGUUAACUCCUUGAUAACCUUCAAGGCUUUUUGUAUUCUGUCUAACUUUUUCAUUGAAAUUAUUCUGCUUUAUAACUUGCUUUUCUCACUUUUUAUCAUGGAUCUUCUCCCAUAACAUCAGAAAUCAGGUUUCUGAAGGAAAUUUCAAGGCUGAACAUUGUCCAUGUGUGUGGAGACGCCAUGACAGAGUUAAACAGAAUUCCCUGUGCAGGGCAGAAGGUGGUACUGUGUGAUAACCAACGUUCUGCGGAGCUGCCGGGAGGGAAGUCUUUGCAUGCAUCCUCAAUACUUUUAUUGAGAAGCUCUUUUGGCAGGAGAAUUGCUGGUCUAAAAGGUAAAACUGGCGUCAACAGGAUAUUUUUUUUCUUAAUACCACACAUAGUUUAAUUCUCACUAAAAAAAAAAUUACAAAUGUAAACCAAACUUCAAAAACAAUGAAAGGUAAAGAAAGCAGUUAUACCUGCACUCCAAAUUCAGGGCUUCCUUAUCCUCUGGAGUCUUUCUUUUGGCCUGUUCAUCCCAGACCCUUGCUGUCCAUUCUUCGCCCUUCUUAGUCCUGAAUGGCCGUCUCAGUCUCCACUGCUGCUCCCCCGGGAGGAGUGGAAACUGGGCGGUGAUGGUGUGCUGGUCAGUGUGUAUCAGCCGGCUCUGCAGAGAAGCAGGGAAGCCCUGUUUGCCAUUUUUUGUGAAAACCUCAGAAUAGCCAGUUUCAAGCUACCAGCAUGAUAUCACCCAAUGCAGAGCAGGAAUAGAUGCACAUGAUUGGCUCCUAUGAACUGGAAUGAGCCCCCUCUGGCACCCAUGUGGGUAUCAGUGGGUGGACAGCACAGCCACCUGUCCCCUUUCCCCAAGGAUGUGUGAGGUCCAAGAGGUGAGCCAUGCUUUUUUAUUUUUGUUUAUUUCAGUCUCCCUGAUAGAGCCUGGAGGAGAACCAAUUAAAAUUUCAGGUGAAUUAGAAAAGAAGGCACCUUGCUGUCACUCCUCCCAUCCUGCAAAUAGUUUCUAUGUAGUUAUAGGGACUUUCUGCCUGCAAAAUAUGCACAUCCUUCUUUUUCAUGAUUUUUGGGAAAUAGUUGAACAUGCAAACAUAUAAUUGUGGUAAUGAUUGAAAUCUGCUUAUACUAAAAUGAAAAUGACUACGGUAAGAUUCUUUUCUGUUUAGAUUAUGGUAAAUAGAGUGGCAGGUAUCAGAUGUCAGAAACAUUCUUUUGCUUUAACUACUUCAUCUUAAAAAUUAAAAAAAUCAAUUCAGUUCUUUUAUAUCUAAUGACAUUUCAAUUGUCAUUGCUAUUAUUAUUUACAAAUAUUUCCAGGGUAUCCCUGUGUGCGUAAGAGUAUGUAUUACAUGCAGGGAUGGGUAUGAAGCUGGCUAGGGCUGGGUGCAGUGGCACAUGCCUGUCAUCCCAGCAGCUUGGGAGACUGAGGCAGGAGGAUCACAAGUUCUAAGCCAGUCUCAGAUGCUAAGAAACUCAGUGAGACCCUGUCUCUAAAACAACAACAACAACAAAAAUACGAAAUAUACGAAAUAGGGCUGGGGAUGUGGCUCAGUGGUCAAGUGCCCCUGAGUUCAAUCCCUAAUACCAAAAAAAAAAAAAAAAAAUGCUGGCUAAUAUGAAGAGCCCAAUAUUGAACAUCUAUGGUGUUAAGAGCUGGGCUAAAUGAUUUAUAUACUUCUAUGCAGUUUAGUCUUCA
RNAcentral lists this long non-coding RNA (1696 nucleotides) under Marmota monax (woodchuck). The record is from RNAcentral. Lineage: Eukaryota; Metazoa; Chordata; Mammalia; Rodentia; Sciuridae.